RNAcentral lists this long non-coding RNA (584 nucleotides) under Fukomys damarensis (Damara mole-rat). RNAcentral describes it as "lncRNA (ENSFDAG00000024634.1)". The record is from RNAcentral. Lineage: Eukaryota; Metazoa; Chordata; Mammalia; Rodentia; Bathyergidae.
UCUUUAUUUCCUCACAAUGCAGCUACAGUACUCACAUCAGCCAGCACCUCAUUCCUAUACUGAUCUCACCAGAGAGCCAGUGCCACCCUUAAAAGACUAGACAGAGCCACUAAGGGGCCCUUACUCGACAGCUGCCCUGGGGAACACUGAGCCGCUACAGGUUGAAGACCCUUUCCAUCAGCAAUGACUACUUUUCUUGCCUGGUAUGGGAAGAUUUUCAUUCACUGACAAUCUGGUCAAAAUAAGGAUCAAGUUUACUCUCAUACUGGAAGCGCGGGAUGUAGGAGAGCAUCAAAAGAUUAUCUCCAGGUCACUGCUCAGAAAUCAAAUCCUAGAUCGAUGCUUGGAAAUCAAUUUAUGAGGAGAGGUAGAAGCCUUACAGAUGUCUCUGUUGGAGCCCCAUACGCUCAAAUGCGUUUACCCUGGGUGUCCCAGCCAGCCCAACGCAGCUGAGUGGGUGACUCUGAAUGAGGCCGUGGGAAGAACGGCACCCACGUAAACUCCACUAACCUGAAGAACUGUGCAAAAUAAACCAGGAAGUUGUGGCGUAGUCUGUUACUCUGUAAUAGAGAACUGAAAAAAAG